CCUACGGGUGUCAGCAGUGAGGAAUAUUGGUCAAUGGCCGUAAGUCUGAACCAGCCAAGUAGCGUGAGGGAAGACUGCCCUAUGGGUUGUAAACCUCUUUUAUGCGGGAAUAAAGGUUUCCACGUGUGGCUUUUUGCAUGUACCGCAUGAAUAAGGACCGGCUAAUUCCGUGCCAGCAGUCGCGGUAAUACGGAAGGUCCUGGCGUUAUCCGGAUUUAUUGGGUUUAAAGGGAGCGUAGGCCGGUCUUUAAGCGUGCCGUGAAAUUUUGUGGCUCAACCAUGAGAGUGCGGCGCGAACUGGAGACCUUGAGUGCGCGGAAGGCAGGCGGAAUUCGUGGUGUAGCGGUGAAAUGCUUAGAUAUCACGAAGAACCCCGAUUGCGAAGGCAGCCUGCCGAAGCGUUACUGACGCUGAAGCUCGAAAGCGUGGGUAUCGAACAGGAUUAGAUACCCCUGUAGUC
This 460-nucleotide ribosomal RNA is filed under the name uncultured bacterium. RNAcentral describes it as "partial 16S ribosomal RNA". It matches the Rfam family "Bacterial small subunit ribosomal RNA", at positions 338 to 795 of the family's 1533-position model. The record is from RNAcentral.